GACGAACGCUGGCGGCGUGCUUAACACAUGCAAGUCGAACGGAAAGGCCCAAGCUUGCUUGGGUACUCGAGUGGCGAACGGGUGAGUAACACGUGGGUGAUCUGCCCUGCACUUCGGGAUAAGCCUGGGAAACUGGGUCUAAUACCGGAUAGGACGAUGGUUUGGAUGCCAUUGUGGAAAGUUUUUUCGGUGUGGGAUGAGCUCGCGGCCUAUCAGCUUGUUGGUGGGGUAAUGGCCUACCAAGGCGUCGACGGGUAGCCGGCCUGAGAGGGUGUACGGCCACAUUGGGACUGAGAUACGGCCCAGACUCCUACGGGAGGCAGCAGUGGGGAAUAUUGCACAAUGGGCGCAAGCCUGAUGCAGCGACGCCGCGUGGGGGAUGACGGCCUUCGGGUUGUAAACUCCUUUCGCUAGGGACGAAGCGUUUUUGUGACGGUACCUGGAGAAGAAGCACCGGCUAACUACGUG
RNAcentral lists this ribosomal RNA (468 nucleotides) under uncultured bacterium. RNAcentral's name for it is "partial 16S ribosomal RNA". It matches the Rfam family "Bacterial small subunit ribosomal RNA", at positions 28 to 507 of the family's 1533-position model. The record is from RNAcentral.